This 361-nucleotide long non-coding RNA is filed under the name Octopus bimaculoides (California two-spot octopus). Its description in RNAcentral is "uncharacterized LOC106883465". The record is from RNAcentral. Lineage: Eukaryota; Metazoa; Mollusca; Cephalopoda; Octopoda; Octopodidae.
AGGAGCGUUGGAUUAGGUCUGGCUUCUUCCUCAGCUCGAAUUUUUGUCAUGGGAGUCCCGUUCCUGAGACUGCUGGCAUUAGAAUAUCCUUGGCUGCCAACCUUAAUACUGGGCGUCGGCUGUACCACCACAGCAAUCAUGCUUAUGAUUAUGUUGCCAGAAACGAAAAACAAAACAUUGCCCCAAACCACAGAAGAACUCCAUCAUAUGCAGCUUGAAAAGAAGGCAAAGCGCAGUAGUGUUAGUCCCUCAUUGGGCCAAACUUGAAACCCAGAUAAAACUGAAAGGAAAACACAACGAAAUGUAUAAUAUAAAACAGGAGCGGUUCAAAACAGUCAAUGAGCUUGCCACUCUACCUGUC